This 581-nucleotide ribosomal RNA is filed under the name Salmonella enterica subsp. enterica serovar Typhimurium. RNAcentral's name for it is "partial 23S ribosomal RNA". It matches the Rfam family "Bacterial large subunit ribosomal RNA", at positions 1163 to 1717 of the family's 2925-position model. Lineage: Bacteria; Pseudomonadati; Pseudomonadota; Gammaproteobacteria; Enterobacterales; Enterobacteriaceae. The record is from RNAcentral.
CAAGACAACUUUACGGAGUUGACGAUUGACGGAGCGAAGCGACGUCAAAGCGUUCAUUAAAGUCGAGUUGGCUUAGGGAUACGUUCGUUGGGUAGGGGAGCGUUCUGUAAGCCUGUGAAGGUGUGUCGUGAGGCAUGCUGGAGGUAUCAGAAGUGCGAAUGCUGACAUAAGUAACGAUAAAGCGGGUGAAAAGCCCGCUCGCCGGAAGACCAAGGGUUCCUGUCCAACGUUAAUCGGGGCAGGGUGAGUCGACCCCUAAGGCGAGGCCGAAAGGCGUAGUCGAUGGGAAACGGGUUAAUAUUCCCGUACUUGGUGUUACUGCGAAGGGGGGACGGAGAAGGCUAUGUUGGCCGGGCGACGGUUGUCCCGGUUUAAGCGUGUAGGUGUGUGUUCCAGGUAAAUCCGGUUCACUUUAACACUGAGGCGUGACGACGAGGCACUACGGUGCUGAAGCAACAAAUGCCCUGCUUCCAGGAAAAGCCUCUAAGCAUCAGGUAACACGAAAUCGUACCCCAAACCGACACAGGUGGUCAGGUAGAGAAUACCAAGGCGCUUGAGAGAACUCGGGUGAAGGAACUAGG